Homo sapiens (human) is the source of this 2743-nucleotide long non-coding RNA. RefSeq lists it as uncharacterized. The record is from RefSeq and is a predicted model, not a curated record. The transcript has 2 exons. Lineage: Eukaryota; Metazoa; Chordata; Mammalia; Primates; Hominidae.
CAUAUUUUGAUUUCACUAAAAAUAGUGAAAAAAGUUUCCACGCACAAAGCAUUCUCAACAAUGUUUUUGGCCAGAUUGACAGCUGCAGCUCCCUCCAGCCAUUUAUUAAUGGCUUUUUCUUUUUAAAAAAUCUACUUCUGCCCAUGAAUCUGAAACACAUUAACUGAACAUUUGGGUCAAAAUUUCUCAUACAUGCUACAUCUUCCCUCUGGAUGAAAAACUCCUGGGGAAUGGGGAUUAUGUCUUCCAUAGCUUUCUCCCCUCGUGUCCAGCCUGGCUUUAGGCCUGAUAAUGACUGCUGUCAUCAUUGUUGCUGUUAUUGUUGAUUUUCAUUAUAGAGCCUGAAGGAAACUUCAAAUCGAAUCCAACCUCCUCUCUUUACCAAUGGGGAAAUUGAACCCAAGAGAAUAAACUGUAUUUAGUCUAAUAUCAGAUCCUUGGUGGAAAGGCUCAAUAUUGUAAACAUGUUGAUUCUACUUCAAAUCAAUCCAGAAAUUCACUGAACUUUAAAUCUAAUGGGAUUGGGGGGAGUUGGGGAGAUCUGACAAAUUUAUUUGAAAAUGAAGAAGGAUAGCUAAGAAGUGUUAGAAGCAGACGAGUAAUGUCCUUUCCCAUAAUAAGAUUAUAGUUCAAUCUAAAGAUUUACACAAUUUAAAACUGGGUAUACCAUUUUAGGAACAGAUUAAUUAAUGGAAAAGAAGGAAGAAUUCAGAAAAGGAAAUUCAUCUCAUUUAUUUUAAAAUUCAAUGAUGUAGUGCUAAUCCUAAGCAGUGGAAGGAAACCUGGAAUUUUCAAAAAGUGAUGUUGAAGCAGCUGUUCUCUUUUUGGGGAAAACAAACUGAAAAAUAAAAAACUUUAGAGUUAAUUUUAAAUAAUUAAAACAAGUCACAUCUCACACCUACUCAAAAAUAAAGUACAAUUGGAUUAAAGAUUUGUGUAAUAAAAAAAGACACUAGAAGAAAAUAUAGGGGAAAAAUUUUUUAUAACUUGAAUGUGGAAAAUGUCUUUCUUAGCAUAGUAUAAAAACUAAAAAUCCUGAAGAGAAAGAAUUUGGACCCCAUGAAAAUUUAAAAUGUAUGAAUAGUGGAAGAUAUCAUAAAAAAUAAAUAGUAGAAAACAAAUGACAGUCUGGGAGAAAAUAUUUUCAACACAUGCAACAGACUAAGGAUUAAUAUCCAUUAUAUAUAAAGAGCACCUACAAAUCCACCAGGAAAGGACUGACAACCCCCACCAAAACAGGUAAAGAAUAUGAAUAGAUAACCAAUGAAGAAACACAAAUGUUUUGUGGAUGCAAAACAUAUUUAAAAAGUGUUCAAUCUCUCUACUAAUUAAAGUAAUAAAAAUUUAAAACUCAUGAUAUUUUAUACCUACCAUAUUAGUAAAAGUCAAAAAAUAUUGGUAACAUUCAGAAUUGAGGACGUGGAAGGUAAUCAAAGCUUUUCUUCCUUGACAGUAAUAAUGUCAAUGGUUCAGCUUUCUUAAAAGAACAACUUGGGCAUUAUCUUUCAAUAUUUUUAAAUGUUCAUAUCCAUGCAGCAGCAUCAUAUCUGGAAAUCCAUCCUACAAGAUACUAAACACAGGUGCCUAAAGACAUGUUUGCUGUGCUCUCCUUGUAACAGGCAGACAAAUUGUUGAUGAAUGAUAAAGAAGGAUAAAAUAAAUCAUGGUAGUCCCAGCUACUCGGGAGGCUGAGGUGGGAGGAUUGCUUGAGGCCAGGAGUUUGAGCCCAGCUUGGGCAACAUAGCAAGACCCCCAUCUCAAAAAAAAAUUAUUGCACAUUCAUGUUAUGGAUGGCUGUGCAGAUAUUAAAGAGAAUGACAUAAAUCUGCCUGUAUCAACAUGGAAAGUCACACACAAUUUAUUGGAAAGUGGAAAAAAAGAAAUAAUUAUAUAAUAAUCAGUAUAAUAUUAUCCCAUUUCCAUUUUGUAAAACAAAUAAAUAAAUAAAGAUUCAGAUCAAAUUUUUAGUGGUGGUUACAGCUGAGGAGUGGGGUCGGUGGGAGUGAUAGGAAGAUGGAAUGUUGCUAUUUAAAAAUGUAUGUUGGUCAAAUUGAAAAAAAAUAAAAGAUAUCCUUCACAUAUUUCAAUAAUGAAAAAAGCAAGAAAUAAGAUAAAAUAAAAUAAAUGUAAGUUGGUGCUCUUUGAAUGCGUCUUGAUGAUAUCUGCAGUUUUGCACAUACAUAUACUGUGUGUGUGUGUGUGUGUGUGUGUGCACACGCCUAUAUAAUUAACAAAGAAACAUAUCCUCACUGGCCCUGUGCAAAGCUGUUACAAUAUUUAUUUUAGGAAUGAGGAAACAGUCCUGAGUUCUAUCACUUGCCCAAGAAACUCACAUGCUGUGAGUGACUACAAAGGAAUUCCAGUCCCAGCCUGAACUGAAAGCCAGGGAGGACCCUUCCCUGCCAACUCGCCUGCCCUAAGCACAGAGCGUGGCUGUGCGAAUUGCAGACUUGGUGGAUGACGGCUGUGGGGAGUUAGAGAGAGCCGCAGCCUGAAAGCCCAACCUCAGGGAAGUGAUUACACCCAUCAAGACCGACCACUCAAUGGACGGACAAACCAUCAAUAAACAUUAUGUUUUGCCAAGAGGAACUAAUGACUUGGGAAAUACAUACAAAAAUAAAUUUAAAAAACACCACAUUCGAAACUGAAAGGUUAGGAUAACAUCAACUAUAAAAAUAUGAAGACUAUGCACAAGAAACUGCCAAUUGCCAGAAUAAAUAUCACUGGGUGAUAGGAUUCUGAA